This 66-nucleotide transfer RNA is filed under the name Synapturanus sp. USNM 588794. RNAcentral describes it as "tRNA-Tyr". It matches the Rfam family "tRNA". Rfam says of the family: Transfer RNA (tRNA) molecules are approximately 80 nucleotides in length. Their secondary structure includes four short double-helical elements and three loops (D, anti-codon, and T loops). Lineage: Eukaryota; Metazoa; Chordata; Amphibia; Anura; Microhylidae. The record is from RNAcentral.
GGCGAAGUGGCCGAGAAGGUGGUGGGUUGUAGCCCCAAGUACAGAGGUUAAGCCCUCUCUUUGUCA